AGAAUCUGGAAUUUGGAAGUUCGGGCCAGGGAAAGUUCCCUGGAAACUCCUCUGGUAAAACUCCGCGCGCAGGUGGAUGCAAUAAAAGCCGUGGUAGUUCUCGAGUCUCACAGUUCAGUUGCAAGUCUGGGCAUAUCUUUGAGAAAGCACCAUAAGAAGACACCUUGUGUCACUUUUAAGAGUUUACAGAGGACCUUUGGACUCCGUAUUCUACAUUUUGUGGUUAAUUGUCUUGGGAAUCUACCUUCAGGUGCAAUAAAACCUAGUUUAAAAGCUGCGUUUGAUGACGCUGUAGUCGCAUUGUUGACAUUCAUCGCAUUAACAGACGACGAGGCGAAAUCAGUCAGACAAAAUCAAGAUGUUUUGUGAAACUUCUCUGUGGAACAUGGGAUGUGACAAGCAUCUUCAGACAAACCGGGAUCCGAUAUGCCUGGUGGAAAUCUCAUCAGGAAGAUCUGUGUCCCUUGAGGACAUGAGUGGAGAAGGAUGGAUAUCUGAAUACCAGACGCCAUCCAAACAGGAUCACAGGAUCAUCAGUAAACCACAUACGACAGCCAUAAGCCGAAUCUUCCACUCUGCAAAGUCCUGGACCUUCCUCCAGUUCAAGACAUCCACACCAGCAUGACGGGAUAAGUGACCCUGCUGUGUGAAAAAGACUUUUAAAAAGGACUUGCACGUUGAAUAUGUUAAUUUAUCAUAUAGUAUGCUUUUUUUUUUAUUUAGAAGUAAAUAAAAUUAAACAUGAACUCUAUUUAUUAAGGAGAAAUUAGAUCCUUGUUUCUUUAGGUAUGUAAUGUCAGGCAUCUGUUGUUCCUUUGAAAUUCCACCAGAGGGCAGGGAUGAGUCAUUGCCACUGUAAUGAAACAUAUGUGUUGACAAGGGGUGCGUCUCAAUCAGCUUCCUAGUUCAGUAGUCAGGGCACUGAUCAUGGAGUUGGCCAUUUUAAGGGCUGUCUCGAUCACAAAAUCCUUCUAGUGCACUGAAAUGUUUGCUCCAUUAAAAAGUCCCACAAUGCACUGUGAAAACCAGGGAGCGUUAAUGCUCACUAUGUUCCCUUAACGGAAGUUCUGAAGCACGGAACAUAAAUCACGUGGGCCAACUCGCCACACAUAAUGACAACCAAGAUUUUGUUUCAUAUUUCUGUAGGGUGAGCUGGUCAGAUUGGACUAUUUUGUGAAGUAAUUAAAUAUUAAGUAAACCUCAAUCUCAAUCAAGUUCAGCUAAAAGUUUAAUUGUUGUUAUAUAUAAUUAUGCAGGCUACAUGAAUAUUCUUAACUGUCACUUUACAGUAUGGAAGAUGUGAUUUCUCUAUUUGCAUUGUGUGUGUAUGUUUACAGCUACAUUCAAAAUGCACUAAAAGUGGCUUUCAAGAUGUGUAUUUGUAUAUAAUCUAUGGUUUAUUAAUAAAAUGUUCAAAUUGUA
Molecule: long non-coding RNA, 1422 nt
Organism: Megalobrama amblycephala (Wuchang bream)
Lineage: Eukaryota; Metazoa; Chordata; Actinopteri; Cypriniformes; Xenocyprididae
Exons: 2
Source: RefSeq, a predicted model, not a curated record